This 421-nucleotide ribosomal RNA is filed under the name uncultured bacterium. Its description in RNAcentral is "bacterial SSU rRNA". It matches the Rfam family "Bacterial small subunit ribosomal RNA", at positions 355 to 776 of the family's 1533-position model. The record is from RNAcentral.
UGGGGAAUUUUGCACAAUGGGCGCAAGCCUGAUGCAGCGACGCCGCGUGAGGGAUGGAGGCCUUCGGGUUGUAAACCUCUUUCGCUCAUGGUCAAGCCGCAACUGUGGUUGUGGUGAGGGUAGUGGGUAAAGAAGCGCCGGCUAACUACGUGCCAGCAGCCGCGGUAAUACGUAGGGCGCGAGCGUUGUCCGGAAUUAUUGGGCGUAAAGGGCUUGUAGGCGGUUUGUCGCGUCUGCCGUGAAAUUCCCUGGCUUAACUGGGGGCGUGCGGUGGGUACGGGCAGGCUUGAGUGCGGUAGGGGAGACUGGAAUUCCUGGUGUAGCGGUGGAAUGCGCAGAUAUCAGGAGGAACACCGGUGGCGAAGGCGGGUCUCUGGGCCGUUACUGACGCUGAGGAGCGAAAGCAUGGGGAGCGAACAGG